ACACGGGGGGCGCAAGCGUUAUUCGGAAUUAUUGGGCGUAAAGGGCGUGUAGGCGGUUUUAUCGGUCAGAUGUGAAAGCCCAGGGCUCAACCCUGGACGUGCAUUUGAAACAGUAAGACUUGAGUACGGUAGAGGAAAGCGGAAUUCCUGGUGUAGAGGUGAAAUUCAUAGAUAUCAGGAGGAACACCGAUGGCGAAGGCAGCUUUCUGGACCGAAACUGACGCUGAUGCGCGAAGGCGUGGGUAGCGAACAGGAUUAGAAACCCCGGUAGUCC
Molecule: ribosomal RNA, 274 nt
Filed under: uncultured bacterium
Lineage: Bacteria
Description: partial 16S ribosomal RNA
Rfam family: Bacterial small subunit ribosomal RNA
Source: RNAcentral